UACGUAGGGUGCAAGCGUUGUCCGGAAUUAUUGGGCGUAAAGGGCUCGUAGGCGGUCCAUCGCGUCGGGAGUGAAAAGCUGGGGCUUAACCCCAGUCCUGCUUCCGAUACGGGUGGACUAGAGGUAGGCAGGGGAGAACGGAAUUCCUGGUGUAGCGGUGAAAUGCGCAGAUAUCAGGAGGAACACCGGUGGCGAAGGCGGCAUCCUGGACCGACACUGACGCUGAGGAGCGAAAGCCAGGGGAGCAAACGGG
This 253-nucleotide ribosomal RNA is filed under the name uncultured bacterium. Its description in RNAcentral is "partial 16S ribosomal RNA". It matches the Rfam family "Bacterial small subunit ribosomal RNA", at positions 524 to 776 of the family's 1533-position model. The record is from RNAcentral.